AUUUUUUUUUUUCAUUUACAUUAGCCGUUAACUAUCGCAGUGGUGGUAUAGUGACAAUAAUGACAACUAAGUAUAAGUAUACCAGUAUAGGUAAGUAAUAGCUUUACGUUUUCACAGUAUUAUAAUCACUUCGAGACCGGAAAAGGGACCGCGAGCAAUAAUAAUAAUACUAACGGGUGUUUUUGAAGCGGUGACGAUUUUUAUAGUGGUUUUCCGUGUUAUUCGCAAACGUUUACGAGCAAUUGAUCGAAAAGGUCUUUGGGAAAUUACGGCGAAUGGCGUUUUGCCGCAGAGGUGUUGGCGACCGAGGAUAAAAAAAAAAAAAAAAAUAAUAUAUGUAUAAAACAUGCGUAUACACAUAUAAGUAAACGCGCAAUACUUUGUACGUCU
Non-coding RNA from Cinara cedri, 390 nucleotides. Lineage: Eukaryota; Metazoa; Arthropoda; Insecta; Hemiptera; Aphididae. The record is from the annotation of a GenBank genome assembly.